AACGAACGCUGGCGGCAUGCCUAACACAUGCAAGUCGAACGAGACCUUCGGGUCUAGUGGCUCACGGGUGCGUAACGCGUGGGAACCUGCCCUUAGGUUCGGAAUAACUCCCCGAAAGGGGUGGUAAUACCGGAUAAUGUCUUCGGACCAAAGAUUUAUCGCCUUUGGAUGGGCCCGCGUUGGAUUAGCUAGUUGGUAGGGUAAAAGCCUACCAAGGCGACGAUCCAGAGCUGGUCUGAGAGGAUGAUCAGCCACACUGGGACUGAGACACGGCCCAGACUCCUACGGGAGGCAGCAGAGGGGAAUACUGGACAAUGGGCGAAAGCCUGAGCCAGCAAUGCCGCGUGAGUGAUGAGGGCCUGAGGGUUGUAAAGCUCUUUUACCCGGGAUGAUAAUGACAGUACCGGGAGAACAAGCUCCGGCUAACUCCGU
RNAcentral lists this ribosomal RNA (432 nucleotides) under uncultured bacterium. RNAcentral describes it as "partial 16S ribosomal RNA". It matches the Rfam family "Bacterial small subunit ribosomal RNA", at positions 29 to 506 of the family's 1533-position model. The record is from RNAcentral.